GCCUCCUAUGUCGCAGACGAGGAUUUCGAUCAAUGAAGCUUUUGCCAAAUUUGACAAAACUGGAGACGGAGUAAUUACUGUUGAAGAUCUGAGGGGUGUUUAUAGUGUUAAACGUCACCCUAAAAAUUUAAAUGGAGAAAUGACAGAGGAUCAAAGUCUCAGAAAUUUCUUGAUGAUGACCAGAGUUAAGACGAACGGUAUAAAAAAGUUUUUAUGUUUUUUUUAUAUGCAUCAUAUGUAUAAAAGAAGGGCAAAAAUACCAGAGG
RNAcentral lists this long non-coding RNA (266 nucleotides) under Mytilus galloprovincialis (Mediterranean mussel). Lineage: Eukaryota; Metazoa; Mollusca; Bivalvia; Mytilida; Mytilidae. The record is from RNAcentral.